Long non-coding RNA from Mercenaria mercenaria, 407 nucleotides. RefSeq lists it as uncharacterized. The transcript is spliced from 3 exons. Lineage: Eukaryota; Metazoa; Mollusca; Bivalvia; Venerida; Veneridae. The record is from RefSeq and is a predicted model, not a curated record.
AAGUACGCCAUUUGUAUAUGAUUACGCGCUUCUCAGCGCCGUUUUUAGAAGCCUUUCGUGUAAAGAUUUGUGAAGCAAAAGGUUUGCCAAAUGAUCUAUCAGAUUUUGUGUUCUGCCAGUACUCUUUCUGGGGUCACUUGGAAAGUGACCUCUUUCUGGGGUCACUUGGAUGACUUCAUUACUGUUCCGCUGGAGAUCAAUCCAGACACUAAUAAUGGCAAAAAGGACACCAAAUGUAUCAAGUUUAACCAUGAAAGGGAUUUCAAAGAUUAUAUGUCAAAAGAGUUCGUUGAGCAUGACCAGGAAGGAGCAUUAUCUGUAGAGGUCUGGGUACAUAAAGUUGUUGGGUUUGGUCAACAGAUCUCCCUGAGAGAGAAUGCGGUUACAUCAACUCUCUUGUUGACAGG